AGAGAAAUGUCAUAUUUUCCUGUGAUCUUCGGCCAGAUUCUAUAAAUUCAUGAUUGUCACUUAUAUCAUGACCUACAGAUUAGAUCAAGGUGCCCUUGAGUACGUUUUACGGAAGCAGAUUGCAAAUGGCAUAUCAGCAUCCAUCCCCUGUUGAAUGUUAGCACAGACUCAGGCCUUUCCCCCUCAUCAAAGGCUGUAAUUUGGUUCAGAAUAUAAAUGAUUUUACACUGAGAGUGCUAUCCUGCACAAUUACGAGUCCAUGCCAGGAGUAGCCUCAAGUGCUGCAGGAUCUCGAUACAUAUCUUCUUUUUUAUGAUCUUCUUUAACAUUUGACCUUUGAAAGAUUUGUCAUGAGGAAAUCACCAGAUUUUCUAAAUCUGGUGAAAUUUUUUACCCUCUGGCAACGCUGUCAGGGAUGGAAUUUGAUAUAGCACUUGGUGGUUGAUCUGGCAGUGUAUUAAGCCAGUCAUUUCUUUUUUUUUUUAAGACUUUUACAAUACACUGGGUAAAGUUCCUAAUACCCUUCGUUGCACCAUUAAAUUUUUGGAGUCAUUUACUAGGAAAUUCUGAAUUGCAUUUUUCUUACUGAUAUUUGAGCACUUAUUCCAGUAACAUGUCAUUCCCUGUCUUAGGGAAUGUCUUACUUUAGUUCCCCCUUCCUCUAGGACGAUUUGGUGCUAAAUUUAAAAUAGAAUGAAAUAUCUUAAGUCUCCUUUCUUAGUCUCUUCCAAUAUAAGUAAGACUUAUUUUUCCGAAUUUUCUUGUAAAUACUCUUUGAACCUGUUCUAGUAAUAUUAAAAAUAUUUUUUGUAAUACUUGGACUCCAUACUUGGCACUGAUAUUCCAAUCUUGAAUGCUUUUCAACCACUCUUUUAUCCUUUGACCAACCACAAUUGUUCCAUUAUCAGCUUUAUAUGGUCCUAAUCUUUGAUAUAGCUUUUCCCAAUUAUCUGAAAAACGCUUUUGUGCUUGUCUUAUCCAAAACUGUUCAGCUUCUUUUAAAAUUUUAGAUUCAAGUUUCAUACAAAUAACCUCAAAAGAUUUAACUUUUAUCAUAUUUAGUAUGCUACCUGUGACGUGUUUUUCUCCGACCCUUGGGUGAUAUGCAAAACCCGGUAAUUAAGAUCACAUCUAUGUAUAUGUAACUCGAUCAUAUUUUGCCAGGUCAGACGUUUGUAAAGGACAUUUAAAAGUUAGAGAUACAUACCUUCACACACACACAC
RNAcentral lists this long non-coding RNA (1223 nucleotides) under Penaeus japonicus. Its description in RNAcentral is "uncharacterized LOC122262474". Lineage: Eukaryota; Metazoa; Arthropoda; Malacostraca; Decapoda; Penaeidae. The record is from RNAcentral.